GCCUCCCACAGCCAGCCUCCCCUGCAGGAUCACCCUGAGCACCGCGUCCUCCUCCUCCCUCCUGGGGCCUCCCCUCUGCCUCCUUCAGGACCAUAACUGUCUCCUCGGGGCCUGGCAGAGGUCCCGUCCGCUCUUCUCACACUUUCUUCACCUGCUCUGACUUCAGACCUCAACUCAAACAUCACUGCCUUGGGGCAGCCUGCCUGGACCUCUUGACCAGAGCACAUGCCCCCAACAGGCUGUCUGGGCACCAGGCUCCCCAAAGAGGCCGGCUUUGAUCACUCCCUCCCGGCUCAGCCCUCCUUAAAGCACCACUCUGCUUUAUUCUCUUCCCAGCACUUAAUGAAGUCCGAAAACGUCCUCUGUCCUCUUCGGACCCUGAGCUGCCCAUGGACAGGACUUCUCUCCUUGUUUGUGGCUUAUGCCCAGUGCCCGCAUGGUGCCUGGUCUAUAACAGGAGUUCAUAGUGGGUGGAUGGAUGAAAGAAUGAAUUAGUGAAUGGAUGAAUGAGUGGACAAAUAAGGAAGAGAGGAAGGGAGAGCUGGGGACAGGCAGGCAGGCUAGACUCAUGUGGGACUUUGCACUCCAUCCUCCCCUGGAAUCUUGACACCACACGUAAGCAAUGUUAAUCCAUUUUAUAAAUGAGGAAACUGAAGCCUGAAGGUGCUUUGGCUUCUCUCUGAAUAACAAAGCUGGUAAAUAGCGGGGCCUUCUUCCACCUGAGGCCUCUGGCUCCACAGUCAACUGCCUUUUGAAAAUUCUUUGACAGCCAGAGGGUGGAUCUCAGCAUCUCUUUGAAGAGUCCCAUGCUGAUUGCCUUUGUGCACGUCCAUCCCGCCUCGUGUGAGCUGAAGCCAUACAUUCACCCCUUCCCUCCCCAGCCGGAUGUUUAUUCCAACUCCGUCUGAGCAUAGCUGUGUCCUCGGGAGAGAAAAGAGAGCCAACUGUCUUUGUGCCAAGAGAAAUCAUCGUUUCCUAUGAAAUUUGAAAAACACUCCACUUCUAGGUGUCAUUCCAUCAUCUGGCAUUAUACACCGUGGUGCGGCUGGUCCCAUUCCUCCGGUGGCCGCCAGGAAUCCUCUAAAAACUUUCUAACUCCAAGAGAAGACAAGGAUCUGGUGGGAAAAAAGUGAAUUAAAAAGCCUGCCUUCCCCAGGUGUACAACUGGAUGCUUUGGUAUACAUGUACAUUGUGAAAUGACUUCACCAAUCAAGCUAACUGACCUAUCCAUCACCUUAUAUAUUUAUUUUUUCCAUUUUUUUGUGGUGAGCACACAACACUCUCUUCGCAAGUCUCCAGUGUCCAAUCCACCAUUAUUAACCAGAAUCUCCCUGUGGAAACUCUCGGAGCAGGGAAACGCCUUUCACGGCCAGCACCCACUGCCCGGAGCUGUCUCCCCUCUUCACUCGGCCGUUUCCCACCCAUGCAGACUCAGGACGCUCAGGGAAACAGAUUUGCCACAAAUCCCAGGUGAUGAAGGUUCUCAGUGAUGGGACAAUCAUGGACACCAAGAUGCUAGAGCUGUGUAGGGAAGCUGUGGGUGGCCCAUUCAGAUCCCCUUUGCCUGGCUGACACACCCACCCGUCAGCUGCAAACAGUUCAACUUGAGCCUCCUUUGGAAGAUGGCCACUGGCCCAUGGGAGCCCCCUUGCCCGCAGGUGCCUGAGAGGUCACGCCCCUUCCUCACCAGGGGCAUCAAAUACUGAAAUAUUGAAUGAAUGAAUCAACAUAGUCAAUGCCUGUCUGAUGUGGGGGUCUGACAGCCUGGGUCUUUCUUUUCUGGGGGUCAGUGUCAGGGCGGUUGGGGGGGCAUGGAGAGC
RNAcentral lists this long non-coding RNA (1820 nucleotides) under Equus caballus (horse). RNAcentral's name for it is "lncRNA (ENSECAG00000047959.1)". Lineage: Eukaryota; Metazoa; Chordata; Mammalia; Perissodactyla; Equidae. The record is from RNAcentral.